AGUGGCGGACGGGUGAGUAACGCGUGAGUAACCUGCCUUUCAGAGGGGGAUAACGUUCUGAAAAGAACGCUAAUACCGCAUAAGAUUGUAGCUUCGCAUGGAGCAGCAAUCAAAGGAGCAAUCCGCUGAAAGAUGGACUCGCGUCCGAUUAGAUAGUUGGCGGGGUAACGGCCCACCAAGUCGACGAUCGGUAGCCGGACUGAGAGGUUGAUCGGCCACAUUGGGACUGAGACACGGCCCAGACUCCUACGGGAGGCAGCAGUGGGGAAUAUUGCGCAAUGGGGGCAACCCUGACGCAGCAACGCCGCGUGCAGGAAGAAGGUCUUCGGAUUGUAAACUGUUGUCGCAAGGGAAGAAGACAGUGACGGUACCUUGUGAGAAAGUCACGGCUAACUACGUGCCAGCAGCCGCGGUAAUACGUAGGUGACAAGCGUUGUCCGGAUUUACUGGGUGUAAAGGGCGCGUAGGCGGACUGUCAAGUCAGUCGUGAAAUACCGGGGCUUAACCCCGGGGCUGCGAUUGAAACUGACAGCCUUGAGUAUCGGAGAGGAAAGCGGAAUUCCUAGUGUAGCGGUGAAAUGCGUAGAUAUUAGGAGGAACACCAGUGGCGAAGGCGGCUUUCUGGACGACAACUGACGCUGAGGCGCGAAAGUGUGGGGAGCAAACAGGAUUAGAUACCCUGGUAGUCCACACCGUAAACGAUGGAUACUAGGUGUAGGAGGUAUCGACCCCUUCUGUGCCGCAGUUAACACAAUAAGUAUCCCACCUGGGGAGUACGACCGCAAGGUUGAAACUCAAAGGAAUUGACGGGGGCCCGCACAAGCAGUGGAGUAUGUGGUUUAAUUCGAAGCAACGCGAAGAACCUUACCUGGGCUUGACAUCCCUGGAAUCGAGUAGAGAUACUUGAGUGCCUUCGGGAAUCAGGUGACAGGUGGUGCAUGGUUGUCGUCAGCUCGUGUCGUGAGAUGUUGGGUUAAGUCCCGCAACGAGCGCAACCCCUAUUGUCAGUUGCCAUCAUUAAGUUGGGCACUCUGGGGAGACUGCCAGGGAUAACCUGGAGGAAGGCGGGGAUGACGUCAAAUCAUCAUGCCCCUUAUGAUUUGGGCUACACACGUGCUACAAUGGCGUAAACAAAGGGAAGCGAGAUCGUGAGAUGGAGCAAAUCCCAAAAAUAACGUCCCAGUUCGGACUGUAGUCUGCAACCCGACUACACGAAGCUGGAAUCGCUAGUAAUCGCGGAUCAGAAUGCCGCGGUGAAUACGUUCCCGGGUCUUGCACACACCGCCCGUCA
RNAcentral lists this ribosomal RNA (1291 nucleotides) under uncultured bacterium. Its description in RNAcentral is "bacterial SSU rRNA". It matches the Rfam family "Bacterial small subunit ribosomal RNA", at positions 94 to 1399 of the family's 1533-position model. The record is from RNAcentral.